CUGACGAGCACACACGAAGCCAGAAUUCAUCGGGGGGGUUCACUUCGAGGGCGAGCCAGUGUUCGCGCAUCUCGUCAACCUCGAGACGAGGAGAGUAUGGUGGGCCACACAAGUAUUUUGUCUCUAAAAUAGUCCCGAUCACCACCACACAGCAGAUAUAAUUAUUUAUACAAUUACCCAAUGGUUAUCUUCGAACAGUGUGUGAAAUCAAUAGACCAAAAAUAUUCUCAAGUACCGCCAUAACCAACCCCUAACCAAUCCACAAAUGUUUGUGUUUCCAGUGGUACAGAAGAAGUGUUUAAUUUUAGUGUACCCCAGUGAUGUGCCCCAAAAGUGACAAGAACCACCAGGAAUAAAGAUCAAGAAGGAGACGAGACUGAACCAAAACCACAAGCGUCGAGAAUCACUGGGAUUCCCCUGAUUCAUUAAAUAGUGAAUGAAGGAAAAUUAUUCGAUGAAGGUACGAGGUUUAUCACUCGCGGGAUGGCGCGCAUGAAGAAUUACACUUAGACCAACUUCAGCAACCUGUCAAUAACCAAGAGACACGUGCAACAGUCCCGAGAAACCCGCAGCCCCCAGAAUUAUCACUCCCGAGAGAUGUGAGAGGAAGAACAAUGAGCGAAGGAUUGACGAAAUCAGCUGGAGGCGAUGAGGAGAAUCGAAAGGUCAUUUGAUUACGAACGUAUCGCAAGCACCCACUAGUCUAUUCCCAGGGCGUUCUGCGUCUUGUGUCCAAGGGCGUAGACUCCAUCAACCCCAUAACCCCAUCUCCAUCCUCCAGGAGCUCUCCAAGAUGUGAGAAGAAAAAUAGAAAAUUAAUUCCUCCCCAGAGAACGUCAUUUUCUAGUAUCUGCAGACCUGACGUAUCCUUGGAAGCACACUCCACUUCAUUCGAAUAGUUGUAACGUUUUUUUUUCCCCUUCAUGAGUAAAAACGUCGGGUACAUGAGUGUGUACGUGUGCGCGAGUGGCUUGUACAAUGUACAUGUAUUGCGUGUGCUUGAAUUAAAGUGCUGCAGAGAAUAUAGGAGCGCCACCAAAUUUCAACGGUGUUAGCCACGUGAAUCAGCGGUGAGAAAGGGAAAUUCGUUGGAAUGUCAUUACCUAAAAUUGCAGUGAACUGCUGAUUAUCAUCAGUACCAGGUACUCGUGUACCUCAGCCAGAGAUAGAGACGGUUUAUGCCAUGGAUAUGAUUGCAAUGGCGUUGGAACAGGUGUUACAGGGAUGUGCCAGUGACCUGUUUUCAUUUUCAAUCGAUUUGGUGCUCCUCUGAAUUGGAAGAAGGCGAAAAAAAACCAUCAAACUAUCCAAUUCACCAGUUGGAGGUGUAUUUUUGGUUGUAGGGGGGUCGGGGGACUUGGAACAAUCUAUUAUUCGGCUGAUAGCAUUGAGUCUCCGGGGGGCAUAAAGGAGGCGAUGAUAAUGAUACAGCCCCCUUUAAUCGACCAUUUGCGAUCAUGAUUCGUUGGGCGGAUGACGCGAUUGAUAAAAUUGUAACGAGUGACAACUCCAUCUUUAAUAACAACGAGACUGUAUACGACAGACUAUUAUCGCUGUGCUGUUGCGUAGACGAUAAUGGUGAUAAUGAAGACACUGAGGAUAUUACAUUCACCUCGUGCCUGAUCAGCAAUGCUGGGGCUUUAAGGGGGUUAAAAUAUCCAGUGAUUUGCGUGAUUAAUGCGAACUCAAUCGAUGGCUCGGAGUUUUAUCACUUAUUUCAAUACUAUUUUGGUAUUACGAGGAGAGGACGAUGGUGUGAGUGUGUAAAGUGGCCAAGGAAGGAUAGUCAGUUGAUUUGUUAUCGUUGUUGGACACUUGGUGGCGGAUGACUCGGUCGGGUGUAGAUGGAAUUGUAGUAUUAGACAUUCAUCUAGUUGAUAUACCAGUUGGGGGACUACUUAGACUAUCGUCGUUGACGCGCCGCAGACGGAGACGGUUGUGCACUUGGUUAACUGUGAUUACACGCACCAUUGUUAUACCGUGAUGGCGGACUUACCUGAUAUGUCUCAUCUUACACCGGAGGAGAGGAGGAUCAUCGAGGGGGUUAUGAUGCGCCAGAAGCAGGAGGAAGAGCAUGAGAAUGAGAUCAUGAGGCGAAAGCAGGACGAGGUUCAGAUACUCGAGGAUACUAUUCGCGCCCGCUCCGAGAAACACAAGAAAGCGGGCAUCGACUUGGAGGAUACAUGUCACAUAUGCAUGAAAACCAAGUUUGCGGACGGUGUUGGCCAUAUCUGCAACUACUGCAACAUACGGUGCUGUGCGCGUUGCGGUGGCAAAGUCACCCUCAGAUCGAACAAGGUGAUAUGGGUGUGCAUCCUGUGUCGUAAGAAACAAGAGCUGCUCUCGAAAACGGGCCAGUGGAUGUUUAAAUCGGGCCUGGGCGCUGCGGACCAAGCUAUGCUCAGGCGAAUGCAGGAGGACAUGCAGGGUACCCCGGGCCUCACCGAUUUGACCCAGGACAAGAGGCCAAAACUUGAGCGCGCUCACAGUGCUGCCGAGAAGGAGAAUCUACCGCUGCUCCAGAGCAGUGGUAGUCUUCUCAGACGUCAGUACUCCCAGCAGGAGCAGAUGCCACCGCGCAGGAUGGCCACCAGCGACAGUGGAGUGGAGAUGACUGUGUCAGCACAUUCAAGAAGCCUACCGACUCCUCACGUUGUCGUUGCUUCCUAUGCACAACAAACGCCGAGACAUCCCGCUGCCUUUCCCGAGGAUGAUCCCAAUCUUUAUCGGGGUGAAUUGGAUGGUCUCAUGAGGCAACAUGCGCAGACUUAUCAGAGAACGAGACAAAUUUAUAAAGAAAACUCGGAUGUUUCAAUGGGGUACCCUCACCCGGGUGUAGACCCGUCCCUAGUUCAUUUGAAUCAGCAACACUCAGUACAUUCGGUACCACUUAGUCAUACCUCUCAGCAGUCAUCAGGUACUGUUCCCGGUUCUCUCCAUCAACAGCGGAGUUUUAGCAGCAGUGAGGAAGAGCGGAGUACGCCAGAGUGCGCGAGUGACGAACACGACGAAUCCGAGAAGGGAGUUCUUGGAUCUACUGUAGGGAAGGGGUACUAUCAUCACGGGGGCGGCACAUCCUCGAUGUCCGGUGGUUCACGUAGACACGGAUCUCACAAUGGACAUCACGUUACUGGCUCCAUGGCCAUUGAGUACAAUGGCCAUCAUCCACCGCGAGAGCCUCGAAAAGAGGAGAGUACCCUCGUAAGGAGGAGCUUCCGAAGAAGCGGCGACGAGUGGCGCGCCGACAGUCGGAGGUUCACUGAGAGGAGGGGGAAAAAGACAGUGAGAUUCGACGGUGGGACCAAUGUAGCUGGCUCACAAGAGGACUGGUCUUGGGAAGCGGAUCGUCAGGGUAGUCUAGACAGCGCAACCAAAGACUCAGGAAUAGAUACAUCAAGUACAUUCACGAGCAGUGAAGACAGCAAUCGUGGUGAUUUACCAAAGCAACCGUUGUCGUGGCAGGAAAGUAACGAUGGACAGAAGACUAUUGGCCACAUGAUCCUGAAGAAGUCUGUCUCGGGAAGCAGUGGUAUCCUCGGGCUCAAGGUUGUGGGAGGAAAACUUAUGAAUGAUGAUAAAAUCGGAGCGAUCAUCGAGAAGGUGAAGAAGGGAAGUGCUGCAGAUCUCGAGGGACAGCUGAAGCCAGGGGACGAGGUGAUCGAGUGGAACGGCCAUCCCCUCCAAGGCAAAUCAUAUCAAGAAGUUUACGACAUAAUAGCAGCGUCGAAGGACGAAUCCGAGGUAGAAUUAUACGUCGCCAGAAAUCGCUGCGGUCCAGCGAAUAAACAAAUGAUGACCGGUAUGCCAGCCACCGUAAUGCCAAUGACAACUCGGAGAGGAUCAGCGCAGAGUCAGUGGCGGCAGAAGCACGAGCCAAUGCCAGUGCCCCACCAGCCCCACCACAAAGAACUGUACGACGUGAGGAGAGAUAAACCAUCGGUUCUGGUGACAUCUCCAGUCUCGCCGGAUCUCAGUGUACAGAGUCGGGCCAGACAUCAGCGGUAUCCAACGGGCGAUCCCAAUGUCGGGGGACGACUGCAACUUCAUCAGAGAUACGAUUAUAAUCGGUGUGAGCUUAAUGUGGAUGUUAUUUGUGCCACCGAUCUGCAGAAGAGGGCCAAUGGGCAGUUGAGACAUGCUUACGCCAGGAUUUAUCUCCUACCGGACAAAAGUGAAGGGACGAAGAGAAGAACGAAAACGGUGGCAAAUACGAAUGCCCCUCAGUGGAACGAGACAUUCGUCUACAGCGUGAGAAAGUUCUCGGAGCUCAAGUACAAAUCGUUGGAGGUUACUGUUUGGGAUAACGUCAGGUACGGGGCAAAUGACUUUCUCGGUGAGACGAUUGUCGAGCUCGCUUACCUCCCCGAGGCACCGCAGUGGCACUACUUGCUUGCCCACGACGACAGACGUCACAUCGGGCAGUACCAGGAGCCGUCCGACGACAUCGCGAUAACCCCUGUUGACUGUCACCUGAGUCCACCGUCGACGACGUCCAGAUUGAGUGACUCGGACACGUCCGAGUACGAGAUCACCGAUGGCGAUGUAUCACAGCAGAGGAGAGGUGCUGAUGGAGCGAGCAUCAGCAGUAUCGGCAGUUCGUCGAGGUUUCAUAAUAUGCCGUCAAAUUAUAAGCGCCACUAUUCCAGCCCACCACCUGAGAGGGAUCUUUGUAUGGACAGUGAACAUCGGAGUCGGAGGGACAUGUCACCACAGGGUAGAAAGAGGGCUGCAUUGAUGAUAUCGAGGGAGCAACCAGUCUCUAUGUCUAUGUCUUAUUCGCCUUACAGAAAAGACGAACCGCCGCGCAGUAUGAUGGGUCACAGAUCCCAAAGCGCUGCCCCCAUGGACGCACCGAACCUUAGCUACAGGGGUAGAUCACAGAGUCCCACUGGUCAUCGUUCACUAUCACCACCAGAGCAAAGAUCCAUUCCCUAUUCCCAUGGCUACAUGCCAACCAGAUUUGGAUCGAGAUCAGCUACUGCCACGCCCACUGGUUCGCCCAAGAAACGACAAUUGCCACAGAUACCUGCUAAAUUGCAUCCAGGCCUGAAGGAGAGAGUUGCGCAGGAUCUCGAGGAGAGAGCUAGACUGAUAACACACAGGAAUAGACAGAUGCAUACGACGUACAGGAGUACGGGAAUGGGAGGAUGGGAAAUACAUUACAGUGGGCUAUCAGACUCUGAUCUCCUGUCAAUAGGCCAUGAACCCCAAUCCACAAUGCACGGUCACAGAAUGCACAGAGUAAGAAGGGGACGCCUGAGUCCCGACAAAGAUGUUCUCGGUGAUUUUGGUGAUUCAGAUAUGGAGAGUACAGCAUCAGUGGAAAGCAAUACCUUCAGUACGCAAUCGGAGCGGCCGCGUGGCACUGUACAUCUAACUGAUUAUGUCAGCCGAAGCAGUCCGUACGAGAAGACGUCGUCGAGGAAUGAAGUACCUGCAGAUGGACACAAUGGUCUCGCCAAGAGAGGACAAUUCACCAGGAGUUUGAGUAAUGCUGAUGCACCACCUGAUGAGAAAGUUGCGGAUGGAAGCUUGAGUGAUACAGCUGUUGGUCUUCAUGUCGAGGAGGCAACGAGAAGAGGAAGAAAAAGUUCACCGGGCAGCAAGAGCGGAAGUGGCAGUAGCAGCGGUGGUGGCAGUACUGUUCAGUAUCAGGGGGGUCUCUCCAAAAAGAGCGUCAGUACGAGCCAACUGUCAGCGACAGAAUGCGGUGUCGUUGGCGGCGCUACGGAAACAAGGUCCUUGGGUGUAACUAGCCGAAAAAGGAACAGCACACCAAGCAGCUUUCAACGAUCCCAAGAGGUUGUACCUUAUCAGCGACUCGGUGCAACCAGACACAGUGGCUCGGUACCAAGUGACCCCGCUGGAUCCCUCAACUCAAUCUCUAGUUCCGAAGCAAGCUCUUGGUCCCCGUGCGCGAGACCAGCCGUUGAGGUUGGUCAACUGAGUGAAUUUAUUGACGGACUUGGACCAGGUCAAUUGGUUGGUAGACAGGUGCUAGGGGCUUCCUCACUCGGUGACAUUCAGUUGUCAUUGAAGUGUCACAGGGGGGUACUGGAUGUUGAGGUGAUACGGGCGAGAGACUUGCAGGUGAAACCGGGCUUCAAAGUGUUACCAGCUCCUUAUAUUAAGCUUUAUUUAGUCGAUGGAAAAAAAUGUAUAGAAAAGGCGAAGACGACGACGGCUGCGAGGAAAACGUUGGAACCUUUCUAUCAACAAACUCUAACAUUUAAGGAAGCCUUCCAGAAGUGCUAUUUACAGGUGACGGUGUGGGGUGACUACGGCCGAAUAGAAGGGAAAAAGGUUUUCAUGGGAGUUGCACAGAUAUCCCUGGACACUCUUAAUCUGAGUGAGGAGGUGUUCGGCUGGUACAAACUCUUCGGCAGCACGUCCCUGGGAAAUAUUGAAGGAAUAUGAUCUUCGGGUGAUUGAUGGCUCUGAAUACGGUAAUGCACAUAUCGCGCACGAGAAUAAUGAAUAAAUUAUAUGAAGCAGCUUUUCUAGCGGCCAGAGGAGUGCAAAUUUGAAGGAUAUUUUUUCCAAUAAAACUGAUUACAAAGAUAUUUAACAAAAACAUCCCAUUUAAAGCACAUCAGAUAUCUUGUCAGAUGAACUAGUCUUUAGGUAGACUAGCUGUAGACGUAGCAGCCAUGUAACUGGAUCGCCGGAUAGCUUUAGUGAAAUCAACGGAGCUCGAGUGAACGUCAUGCUGACAUAAACUCGAACGUGAUGUGUCUAUCAAAGUGAUAACCAAAAAAAAAAUAAACGACAAUGAAUAUUAAUAAUGUGAUCGACGCAAGUGGACGAUUUGGUGAUAGGGGAAAAACUGAGUAAUCUCAUCAGUGAUUUAAAAAUAGCGAUAAUGAACUUUGAAUGAAUAAAUUCGAUGAAUGUAACUAUCGGACCGGUAGCCGAGGAAAUUAAUGCCGGUCAUGAACUAUAUGCAGAUUUAUGUAUAGAUAUAAAGAAAAUAUGAAGCGUUGCUAUAUUUGUAUAUAAAUUGGGGACACGCUGUGAAAAGAUUUUUCAAUUUAGAAAUCUUUCAAUUUUAUUGACUGCUGAAUGCGAAACGAUGUUCAGCCCUUGAGUUUAAUUCAUCUACUCUUGUUUCAUAAUCUGAUUAUAUUCACGUUAACGUAUGUCGUAUACUCACGCCGUUGUACGCCAUCGACGGACAGUGAAGAGGAAAUGAAUUCAAAUUGAAUCACAAUAUUCGGGGUAAAAAAAAAAUUUAUCACUGUGUGUGUACCUUGGUGUAAAUAAUUGUACGGCGGUGAGGUAUGCAUGCAUCUCGAAUAUUGCGUGACUGAUAAGCGCCGUGUGAUGAAUAAGAUAUGUUGAAUAAUUAGGGGAUGGAAGGGGAGGGGUAAUACAGAGGGAUUUGUAUUAUGUUUUUAACUGCCUUGUCAAUGUUUUUCUCAUUCAAAAUUUUUUUAUUUAAUCUUAUAUUCGUACUAGGAUAAAUAAUAUUUUUGUUAUUGAAUUCAUUGAAUUAUGUGAGACACAAUCGAGUGAAUCGGUUUGAAAGAUAAAUGACAUUUGUAUUUUACUGUAUAGCUGUUGAUCGUCAUGUUAUCAAUUAACUUCAUCCGUGUUCGCACGCCACAUGGUCACACGCAGAUAAAGAAUGUCAGAUUGAGCAGGAAAAUUUUUGCGGAAAAAUUGCAAAUUCACUCAUCUCAUGUCGACUUAUUUUCAUUCAGCUUGAUUCGAUAUAAUUUGGGACACUCGAAUGAUUUUUCGAGAUUCAACUCACUAUAGGCAGCAUAUGGAUAGAAAAAAAAUUGAACAGGUGAGAGCGAUGGAAGUAUCUUAUCAUAUCUAUAAUGUGCUUAAUUAAAAUUAGAAGGAAAUAAAGAGAUAAUGAAACAACCAAAAAUUGAAAAAAAAAAUUGAAACCACAAAACAAGGAGGAUUUUUUACUCAUGAAAAAUAAAUACUGAAUUUUAGAAUCGUAAAGAGUAACCGAGGAUUAUAAACAGAUAUAACAAUUGAUGAAACAUUGUAAGUAUUGUGAAAAUGAAACGGUGAAAAAAAAAACAAACAUUAAAAGAGAUAAAUAAAUAACGACUUAACGAAUAAGCUGAAAUUUCUAAGUAAAACUUUUUGCAAAGUGUGAGUGGGCGAACUAUAGUCACAGGGGGUCAAAUAAAUGGAUAAAACAACUACAAAUAACAAGAGAGAAAAUAACAAAAACUGUAAUAGCGUGAACAAAAUUGAAGGAUGGAUAAUUAUACGAGACUAUCGAUAAUGUAAAAUGUUCAGUUUGUAAUCCGCCAUAUUGCGCGUCUAUUCUACUCCCUGAGAUCAAUUACUGAGCUCUGAUUUUUCAUCAAUCCUGCAUUGAUUUCAAUCAUUCACAACAAUUAUCCAUGCUAUCGUACAUCAUCAGGGAAUAGAAAGAUGCGGACUGUUUCGCGCUUGAAAAAAAAAACAUAAAAUAUUGCAUAUCCUAUUCAGACGUAGAUCUUUGAUAACUUACUAAAAAAAAGCAAAAAAAAUAAAAAACUAACGAAUGAAAGAAGUCAAACGGAGAAAAUACUUUAGAGUUGACAGAUGGGAAUGUUUGAAUUUUUUCUUAGACUUUUCUACGACAGAGUGUUUCGUGUUCUAGUGAGACUACCAACGGAUGAGAUUCAGGAGAAUAAAGGGAAUUAGUGAGAGAGUUAUUAGUGAUUUGAUUUGAAUCGGAGGGGGAAAUUUCUAAUGCAAAAUUUCAAACAACAAUCCAUUGGGCACAUUCACAUGCUGCACAUGCCAUUAAAGAUUGCACUGUGUCGUUGAAUAUUGUUAUUAAAGUUGCCAUGAAAAAAAAACCAUCGUAAGGAUGAUGAUGAAUGAGUUAAUGAAAUAAAUCAAUUGAGAAUGUGCUGUGCUUUGUUGAUAUCCGCAAAGUGGCAUAGCAAGAGUUAAAAUCAAGUUAAUCAGACGAAUUGUUGGGGAAGGGAAAAACGGAUAAACGAAUCAAUAAAAAAAAUCGUUUGAAUUACGUCUUCUUUUGACCCGCUGUGAGUGACAGAAAGACUGCCUCUUUUGCCAUUGAAAAUUCAUUUUCACUAAACUUGAGAGAAAAAAAAAAUAAUUAACCAAGAAACGAAAAAUUGAUACAUAUUAUUUACGUUAAUCAUUUGAGAAAGUAUAUGACAACUGAUUCCUACCCUUGCCUUGCCGAUUUGUAAAUAGGCGUGCUCAAUUCGAUAGCUCGGCGGUGAAUCAUGGAUACAUUUAAUCUUAAUAACGGAUCGUAAAUUUCAACAAAAAUAAUAAAUGAAAGAAAAAAAAAUUAAUAUCCGACUUUGUACCUAUAUACUAAUUAAACUUAACAAAGCGAAAGAAAAAAAAACACUUACGAUUAAAAAUAUCUGGAUUGCACACGAAUGCUUAUUUCGAUGAUAUUGAGAUGAUCAUUUUGGGAGAUAAUGGAGCAUUGAGAACCAAUUAACAUCAGCAAUUUAAACAAUUAUAUCAUCCAAGCGCAAUGGGGUACCACUUUUGUCAAAUUUAACGAGCCAACCUAGGGUUUUAAAAGAAUUGAUGAGCAAUCAGUGUGACACAAAUGGAAAAUUACGAAGUGCGGAUUAACGACAAUGCCAACAAUUUAUUAAUUAUCAAAUUAAUUAACGACUACCUUGUAGAGUCGAGUCCAAAGAAAAGAAAACAUGUAGCAUAAGUUAUCUUGUAUCUUGUAUUUAAUGUCACGACUGAUUCGUGCGCGAAGACAUUCAAUGAAUAAUUUCGGGGAGAAAGAUAUUUGACGCGCACGAGUCCCUCGUCAAAUGGUGAUCCUGACCUUUACUAACAAAACACGAUAAAAGCAAGAAAAAAAAAUUAACGAUGAAGUGAAAAUUGCUGCUCGAGUUUAGACGAAAUAAUCGGGACAGGCUUCGUACAUUUCUAAUUUGUCAAUGGUGAUAUAAAACAAAAUGUGAAAUACGACCGUGUACUUAUUGUUUCCCUUGAGAGCGCGUGGUAUGUGAGAAUGUGACAUUAAAUAAAAAAAAUAAAUCUCCCAGAGUGAAAUGGAAAAAAAUCCGAAAAACCGAAGAACGAAACCUAAGCAAAUACGAUUAGAAAAAGAAAACAUUUUCUCGAAGAGUCUCCACGAAUAUCCGUCAUUCGGCGUCUGGAUCUUCUGAUUUACGACUAAAAAGUGAUUUCUCGGAAACAAAAUUUAAAAAAUUAUAUUAUAGGGAACAAGACGUUUGUCGAAGACUGUACAUAUUGCAUGAGCGAUCAGCCCAAAAAUAUGAGGAAUCAAUUUUUACGAUACUAUUAGAGGUUUAUUUAGGGGCUGGAUUUUCGUGGAGGCUGAUUGGGGAAUAAUUAAUAUAAAGCGUUAGUGACUGUAUCCAGUAUAAUAUACCAGAUAAAAAAGAUACCCCCAAUGCCAGACAUGGCGUGUGACAAUAAAGUGAUUCAAUGAUA
Diachasmimorpha longicaudata is the source of this 10425-nucleotide RNA transcript. It is a transcript of the gene named Rab3 interacting molecule, with no coding region annotated. The record is from RefSeq and is a predicted model, not a curated record. Lineage: Eukaryota; Metazoa; Arthropoda; Insecta; Hymenoptera; Braconidae. The transcript has 25 exons.